GGGCCGUUGGCUCAGUUGGCUAGAGCGCGUCAUUUGCAAUGACGAGGCCGAGGGUUCGAGUCCCUCACGGUCCA
Molecule: transfer RNA, 74 nt
Filed under: Candidatus Woesebacteria bacterium GWB1_43_5
Lineage: Bacteria; Candidatus Woeseibacteriota
Description: tRNA-Ala
Rfam family: tRNA
About the family: Transfer RNA (tRNA) molecules are approximately 80 nucleotides in length. Their secondary structure includes four short double-helical elements and three loops (D, anti-codon, and T loops).
Source: RNAcentral